Molecule: ribosomal RNA, 315 nt
Filed under: uncultured bacterium
Lineage: Bacteria
Description: bacterial SSU rRNA
Rfam family: Bacterial small subunit ribosomal RNA
Source: RNAcentral
GAUGAACGCUGACAGAAUGCUUAACACAUGCAAGUCGAGGGGCAGCAGGGAUUUAGCUUGCUAAAUCCGCUGGCGACCGGCGCACGGGUGCGUAACGCGUAUCCAACCUUCCCGUUACUCUGGGAUAGCCUUCCGAAAGGGAGAUUAAUACCGGAUAGUGUUCAAAUGUCGCAUGUUAUUUGAACUAAAGAUUUAUCGGUAACGGAUGGGGAUGCGUGACAUUAGAUAGUAGGCGGGGUAACGGCCCACCUAGUCUACGAUGUCUAGGGGUUCUGAGAGGAAGAUCACCCACACUGGAACUGAGACACGGUCCAG